This 22-nucleotide unclassified non-coding RNA is filed under the name Mus musculus (house mouse). Its description in RNAcentral is "oocyte_clustered_small_RNA5258". The record is from RNAcentral. Lineage: Eukaryota; Metazoa; Chordata; Mammalia; Rodentia; Muridae.
AGACCAAGCCAGCCCGGCCCGA